AAAAGGCCCCCUCGUGGCCGCUAAGCAUCAGACACUUUACUGUGACUCUCUCUCUCCUACGGGAAGAUUACUUGCUUCACCUGGACUCUUAGCCAAUCACAAGUUGACUCAGGAUCGCUGCACGCUGGUAGCAUUCUGUCCGAGACUUUUGCCAGUAGUGCACGCUAACUGCACGGACUUAAAACCCGUUUUGAUACAACUGCUUUAUCCUGUGUGCGUCUUUACAAGUAAGAAUCUGUAUUUUGUUGUUCCUUUACUGUCAUUGCUGAUGCUAGAUUGGUAGUGUUUUGUCUGUUUAGUGUUGCUAAUUUAAGCUCAGGUUUUUUCUGCCUGAUUAGGCUUUGCGUUGUAAUGCUUCUUCCUAUGUAUAAAUGUAUAAGUUUCUACUCGGGCAUUAUUCUUUUGUUACACAUUGUAUAAUACCAGUUACGCACCCUCUGCACAUAGUUUGUAAGCUAUUGCGGCGAUAUUCGCCUUUAAUCCAGUUAAUUGGUUAUAGAGCACGCACUGUCCGCAUGAACACUGGUCGUCAUGUGACACCUCUCAGAGCGGCCUGUUGUAGUUAUUUAUGUGACCGGCAGAGGGAGGCUUUGUAUAGCGAAUGGUUUAUGCUUUCUCAUUGUUAUAGUUAUAGCAGCCUUUUUCAUUCUUCUAAUGUCAGUUUCGGCCAUGUUAAAAUAAUAUUAUUGUAUUUUAUUUCUGCUGUAUUGUUAGAAUAAGAUACAGUCAAUGCCAAUAAUGGUUUGUUUGCAUGAUAAUCAUUCAUUUUCAUUCAACUAAUUGUUUGUUUUCACUUCUUUAUUGUUUCAGAACCACACACACAUCAAUGUACAUUUCAAUCAUGCAGUUGUAAAUCCAAUAAAUACUUCCAGUGAAGAAAUCUUGCGUGAUUCUGACCGAUCACCUGCUGUGAGCUCUACCUAACGAUCCACAAACUAUCAAAAAUCAAAGAAGCCAGUCCUCUUCUAAACAAAGUGGUCCUUCGAGCCGGAACCAGAGCCUGCAGCGGAGCAAGAUGUCUACCACCUCGGAUAACGAGUAUAAUGCACAAUCUAGGAGGCAGCGGUCCCUCCCUAACUACUUGCAAGAUUAUGACUUGUCUGAUCUCCCGACCAGAUCUCAAACCAUGAAGCCUUCUGAGUCACAGCCUAGGGAGCGGCUAGACGAAGAGGACCACAGCAGACCUGAUUCACGAUCUGCACCACCAGAAAGUCAGCUGCACCACAGCCCAGCGCGAUGGUCAGUCACUGAUAAAUGGGAAUCUUCUGCAGAUGAGUGGAGAAGGGAGUGCCGCAUACUAGAGCGUGAAAGGGAAGAUCUCCUAGCAUCAAUUGAGGAAUUAAAAAUACAGAACGAGCAGCUCAGAGCCAGGGCGGAGCCCAGCAAUUCCCGUUCAGAGCCACGUACUGUAGCUGCCAGAGACAGACUUUACAGAGAAGGGCUGGAAUACGGAGGUGCUUCAACCCAGUACAAAUCAGUCUACUUCCGAGACAGAGAGACACCACCACAACGGUCCUCUGACAGGCGUCAUGACUACAGUAGAGAGACAAAGGACUAUAGGGAAACAACCAGGUAUGACUCUCCCUCACCUAAAAGCUCUCCAGAGCCAGUACUCAGCAAGCACCAGGCUUCACGACGAAGCUAUGAGUCCAGAGAAGGGCGCUACAGUUCUCAACAUAAUUAUGAGCAGUGCAGCCACCGCCGCUCACCCGAGCGCUACGCCAGCUACAGAGACUCUUGUUAUUCCUCCAGAGAGUACAGAGAACCAUCAUGCCGAGGUGACUACUCUCCUGCACGCCGCUUCAGCUACUCGCCAGAUCAGCGUGAGAAACGUAGUCCCCCUUCACCUUGGCACGAGCCCAGACGCUCAGUGACUCCCCCUGGUGGACAGGAAAGAACAUACAGAGGGCCUACUCCUACAAUCCCGAACUUCAACCGUCCUAACCCAAGAGACUUUGCGAGACUCCGUAUUGCCUUAGACAAUCUCCUUCCAAGAGAUGCCACUGAACGUUUCAAGUUCCAGAUAUUAGUGGAUCAUCUGAAGCUGGAGGAAGCAUUGCUGGUGGCAGAUUCUUACAGCAAUUCUGACUACCCCUUUACUGACACUAUGGCAGCUUUAAACCAGCAGUACGGACAGCCACACCAACUCGCCCUUCAGCGUAUUGCCGAACUGAUGGAUGGCCCCAACAUUCAGAGUGGAGACAUCAAGUCAUUCAGGUUGUUCGCUCUGAACGUCAGAUCCCUGGUGAGCAUGUUGGAGCAGCUUGGUUUAAAGGGGCAAGUUGAGCUGGACUGUGGUUCUCAUGUCACCCGUCUACUGGGCAAGCUACCCCAUGACCUGAGGUCCAGUUUCAGGCGUUACAUCCACCCGCUCCGCAUUCCUAUCCCCACUCUUCUGGACCUGGCAGAUUGGUUGGAAUACGAGCUCCAGAUCCAGGAGGAUAUAGCACAAUAUCGCUUGAGAAAGGACACUGGAACUAGGCCCAAAGAAUCCAAGAGUAAUGUAAAGUCGUCACCUAAGGCCUCAGUCCUCCUGCUGGGGGCUGAACCCAAACCGGUUAGGGAGCCAGCUAAAGUCACUCCUCCAACCAGUCUAGAAGCAAAGAAGUUCUGCCCAUUCUGUGAGAAUUACAAGCACACUCUGAAUAAUUGCGCAAAUUUCAAACUUCUCAGCGCCACCCAGAAAUGUAAGUGGAUUCAGGACAACAACCGAUGUUGGCGAUGUGGCAGAGAACACCGAUCAGCGGAAUGUGAUCUGAAGAUGUGCUGUAAAACAUGCAACAGCAGACACCUGCUUGUGCUGCACGAUGUCAGCGAGAGAAGUUUAGUCAAGACUGACAAAGCUGAGAGAAGGUCUGACCAGGGGAAGUCCAGUGAGAGCAAUCCUUCGUCCGUACCAAGUGCAGACCAAGUGCUAUACAUUGGCAAGCCACCGCAGGGCCCGCGUGUGCUUCUCAAGGUUAGUAAAGUUAUCCUCCGCCAUGGUGACCAAACUCUAGAGACAUACGCUGUGCUAGACGACGGCUCUGAACGCACCCUGCUCCUCCAACCAGCUGUCCAACAACUGGGACUUGAAGGCCAGCCUGAGGAUUUGCCCCUGCGUACAGUUAGACAGGAGCUGCAGACGCUUCACGGGGCGGCUGUCUCAUUUAGCAUCUCUCCAGCCUGUUCUCCAGCCAUGGUAUACAACAUCCAAGGAGCUUUUACAGCACCCAAGCUCGGGCUAGGCCAGCACACGUAUCCCUUUAAAGCACUGCAGAGCAAAUACAGACAUUUGAAGAAGCUUUCUAUCCCUUCAUUCAAGGACAUUGUCCCGCUUCUGCUUAUUGGUUCAGACCACCCUCACUUGGUGACUCCAGUUGAGCCAGUCAUCUUUGGUCCCCCUGGUGCACCAGUUGCUGUCCGCACCCGUCUCGGAUGGACGCUGCAAGGUCCGACCAACAAUCUAAAGCAUUACCUUAUCGAGCAACGCUGUUUUUUCACCGCCUUCGGGGCGCCUCCAGCUGACAUCUACCAGCAUGUCGAGAGGCUGUGGCAACUGGACAUCCUCCCAUGGCGCAGCGAAAAGGCCAGUACGAGGUCACGGCAGGACAAGGAGGCCCUUGAAUGCUUGGAUAAACAGACGGUGCGAGUACAUGUUAAUGGUGUCCACCGCUAUGCAACUCCUCUCCUCCGCGUGAAGAACUUUCCUCAGCUCUGCGCACCAAAGGAGGCAGUACUUCCUCAGCUCCGGAAUACAGAAAGGCGGCUGGCAAAGAACCCUGAGACGGCCCAAGUCUACAAUGCAGAGAUCCAGAGACUUGAACAGGCUGGUUAUGUGGCAAAACUACCCCCUGGCACAGAGAACACCUCAAGCAGCUGGUACAUCCCUCACCACCUUGUCGAGCACAAUGGCAAGCACAGAGUGGUUUUCAAUUGCUCUUUCCAGUAUGGCACCACUGACUUAAACAAACUCCUGCUCCCGGGUCCAACCCUUGGUCCACCACUCCUUUCAGUUCUCCUACGAUUCAGAGAACACUGUGUGGCCUUCAGCAGUGACAUACGGGGAAUGUUUCACCAGGUCAGGCUCCUACCAGAGGAUGAGCCUCUUCUCCGCUUCCUCUGGAGGGAGCUAAAGCGUGAUGAACAACCUACAGUCUAUCAGUGGAAGGUGCUUCCCUUCGGCACUACCUGUAGCCCCUGCUGUGCUACGUAUGCCCUACAGAAGCAUGUCACCGACCAUACUCAGCCAGCUGAUGCAGUGAGAGACUCUGUGUUAAGACAUUUCUACGUUGAUAACUGGCUGCAAAGUGUGCCUACAGUUGAAGAUGCUAAGCCUAUCAUUGACAAGCUGCAGACUCUUCUUGCUGAAGGAGGCUUUGAGUUACGCCAGUGGGCCAGUACACAUCCAGACACCAUCCGUCACCUCCCUGCUGAGGCAAGAUCGGCUAGUGCUGAAAAGUGGAUCGCCCAAGGUCACCCAGAUCAAGAAGAAUCAGCCCUGGGCCUACAGUGGGACUGUCGAGAGGACACUCUGUCCUUCAAGUGUCGAGAAGUUCUAGCCACUGAUGAAGUUGUCACUAUGCGCUACAUCUAUAAAGUGGUGGCAAGCCAAUACGACCCCCUUGGCUUUUUAGUACCUUACACCACCAGGGCAAAAGUUGUCAUACAACACCUGUGGGACAAAAGGCGUGACUGGGAUGACCCUGCUCUGCCAGAUCACCUGCUAGCCGCAUGGAGAGAGUGGGAGGACGAGUUACCUCACCUACAGAGCAUAGCAUUUCCGAGGUGUUACACUGGCCAAGAGUUAGACUCUCCUACCUGUGAGCGUGAGAUCCACGUGUUCUGCGAUGCCUCAGAGCAAGCCUAUGGCUCUGUGGCAUACCUCCGAACCAAGAAUUCUCAUGGAGUCGUCCAAGUAGCAUUCGUCACCGCAAGAUCCAGAGUUGCUCCAAGAAAGCAGCAGUCAAUCCCACGCUUGGAGUUAUGCGCUGCUCUGACUGGAGCACAAAUGGCUCAGAUCCUCAAAUCUGAACUCACACUGCCCAUCCAGCAGGUGAUGCUCUGGUCGGACUCUACUACCGUGCUCAAGUGGCUGCAGUCAGAGUCAUGCAGAUUCAAAGUGUUUGUUGGUACACGCGUGGCAGAGAUUCAAGAUCUCACUGAGGGCGACACAUGGAGAUACGUGGACUCUGCACAGAACCCUGCCGAUGACAUAACGCGUGGCAAACCUCUCAACACAUUGACACCAGACAGCCGCUGGGGUCAAGGCCCCACCUUCUUGUGGUGUGAACCAGACAAAUGGCCACAAAGUCCUCAGAUUCAGACAGAGGCAGAUCAGAGUGAAGAGCUCAAGAAAUCUCAGUUCUGCGGCCUCACUACUACCACGCCAAAUCUUCUCCCAGAUGCUAAGCAGUUCUCUUCCUUCAGAGACCUCCUGACCGCCACAACGAAGACUCUACAUGGGGCGGCCCCAGGCAAUGUCACAGCCUACAGGCAAGCCCAGCUGGCUCUGCUACAACAGGUCCAACAAGACAGUUUUCCUAUUGACUAUGCCCUGCUGCAGUCAGGGAAACCAGUCACCAAGAGCAGCAGACUUCUCAAGCUUGCACCAGAGUUCGACCACAGUGACAAGCUCAUCCGUGUUGGCGGACGUCUGCGCCAUAGUAACCAGCUGGAACCGGAUACUGUUCACCCGGUGGUGCUGGAUGCUAAACACCCAGUAACGCAGUUGCUCAUCGAAGAGUACGAUUACCGUCUGCACCAUCCAGGCCCAGAGAGGGUCUUCUCCGAGAUGCGCCGCAAGUAUUGGCUACCAGGAGGGCGAGAGGCUAUCCGCCACUUUCAGCGUAAGUGCCAAGAGUGUCAGAAAUGGCGCGGUAAGCCACAAAUCCCACAAAUGGCAGACCUGCCUCCAUCCAGAGUCCAACUUUUCAAGCCAGCAUUUUAUUCAACAGGAGUAGAUUGCUUCGGGCCAUACUCUGUAGCGAUUGGAAGGAGGAGUGAAAAGCGCUGGGGAAUAAUCUUUAAAUGCAUGACCACCCGAGCCGUGCAUAUCGACAUGCUCUCCAGUUUGAAUGCAGAUUCAUUCCUCAUGGCCCUAAGACGGUUCAUUUCCCGCAGAGGAAAGCCGUUCGAGCUGAUUUCAGACCAGGGGACUAACUUCAGAGGUGGUGAUCGAGAGCUCCGGGAAGCAUUCGCCGACCUUGCUCCAGACAUCAAAGCUCAACUCGCCUCUCAGCAAAUUGACUGGAAGUUUAAUCCACCUAACGCCCCCCACUUUGGCGGCUGCUGGGAGCGCGAGAUACGCUCUGUAAAACAAGCCUUGCAAGUAACCCUUGGAGCCCAGCUUGUAACAGAUGAGGUACUGAGAACCCUACUAGUGGAGAUUGAAGGGAUUCUCAACUCCAAACCAUUAGGCUACACAUCUGCAGACAUCGCUGACCCCGAUCCAAUAACUCCCAACUCACUGCUCAUUGGGCGGCCAGAUGCCUCUCUCCCGCAGGUGGUGUAUCCUGACUCCGAGCUCCUAAGCAGUAGGCGUUGGCGCCAUAGCCAGCUGUUGGCUGACCACUUCUGGAAGCAUUUUAUCCGUUUCUAUCUGCCCAGCCUCCAGGCCCGACAGAAGUGGAAUGCUGAAAACCCAAAUCUGCACAUCGGCAAGACUGUCCUCAUGAUUGACCCACAGCUCCCUCGAUCACUGUGGCCAGUGGGUAAAGUGACCAGCGUCUUUCCUGGCCUCGAUGGUAAAGUACGAUCUGCUGAAGUGAAUGUAGGAGACCGGGCGUACACCCGCCCUGUGGCUCGACUUAUCCAGCUUCCAGAGUUGUCAGACUAAUCACUACUGGACGAAUGGGUGCCUUUCUUUCUUCUGCAGAUUACCUUCAGUAAUCUGGGGGCGGCUGUAAAAAAGGCCCCCUCGUGGCCGCUAAGCAUCAGACACUUUACUGUGACUCUCUCUCUCCUACGGGAAGAUUACUUGCUUCACCUGGACUCUUAGCCAAUCACAAGUUGACUCAGGAUCGCUGCACGCUGGUAGCAUUCUGUCCGAGACUUUUGCCAGUAGUGCACGCUAACUGCACGGACUUAAAACCCGUUUUGAUACAACUGCUUUAUCCUGUGUGCGUCUUUACAAAACCACACACACAUCAAUGUACAUUUCAAUCAUGCAGUUGUAAAUCCAAUAAAUACUUCCAGUGAAGAAAUCUUGCGUGAUUCUGACCGAUCACCUGCUGUGAGCUCUACCUAACGAUCCACAAACUAUCAAAAAUCAAAGAAGCCAGUCCUCUUCUA
This is an RNA transcript of Carassius auratus (goldfish), 7272 nucleotides long. RefSeq lists it as uncharacterized. Lineage: Eukaryota; Metazoa; Chordata; Actinopteri; Cypriniformes; Cyprinidae. The transcript is spliced from 2 exons. The record is from RefSeq and is a predicted model, not a curated record.